CGAAGCCCCCCUCAAGAUGAGAUUUCCCAUUGCGCAAGCAAGUAAGAUCCCUCAAAGACGAUGAGGUAGAUAGGUUCGGGGUGGAAGCGUGGCGACACGUGCAGCUGACGAAUACUAAUCGAUCGAGGACUUAACCAA
Molecule: non-coding RNA, 138 nt
Filed under: Planococcus glaciei
Lineage: Bacteria; Bacillati; Bacillota; Bacilli; Caryophanales; Caryophanaceae
Description: Planomicrobium glaciei 23S rRNA. Bacterial LSU
Rfam family: Bacterial large subunit ribosomal RNA
Source: RNAcentral